RNAcentral lists this ribosomal RNA (253 nucleotides) under uncultured bacterium. RNAcentral describes it as "partial 16S ribosomal RNA". It matches the Rfam family "Bacterial small subunit ribosomal RNA", at positions 524 to 776 of the family's 1533-position model. The record is from RNAcentral.
UACGAAGGGGGCUAGCGUUGUUCGGAAUUACUGGGCGUAAAGGGCGCGUAGGCGGCCCGUUCAGUCAGAAGUGAAAGCCCCAGGCUCAACCUGGGAACGGCUUUUAAUACUGGCGGGCUUGAGUUCCGGAGAGGAUGGUGGAAUUCCCAGUGUAGAGGUGAAAUUCGUAGAUAUUGGGAAGAACACCGGUAGCGAAGGCGGCCAUCUGGACGGACACUAACACUAAGGCGCGAAAGCAUGAAAAGCAAACAGG